This 384-nucleotide unclassified non-coding RNA is filed under the name Hevea brasiliensis (rubber tree). Lineage: Eukaryota; Viridiplantae; Streptophyta; Magnoliopsida; Malpighiales; Euphorbiaceae. The record is from RNAcentral.
CAGAGAUUUGUGUCCUCAAAUAGACCAACUAGAUAUGCCUCUGCAGCUUCUUGAAGAGCCGCAACGGCACUGCUUUGGAACCGCAGAUCUGUCUUGAAAUCCUGUGCUAUUUCUCUCACCAGCCUCUGGAAUGGAAGCUUACGGAUCAGGAGCUCAGUGCUCUUUUGGUACUUCCUUAUCUCUCGCAAUGCCACCGUCCCAGGUCUAAAACGGUGCGGCUUCUUCACUCCUCCGGUCGCAGGAGCUGACUUCCUAGCUGCCUUCGUAGCCAGCUGCUUACGCGGAGCCUUCCCUCUGGUUGAUUUCCUUGCUGUUUGCUUGGUACGAGCCAUUUCUGAUGAUUGGGAAAGCGACUGAGCGAAUGCUUGUGUAGAGAGAAAAAGG